Molecule: ribosomal RNA, 390 nt
Filed under: Triticum aestivum (bread wheat)
Lineage: Eukaryota; Viridiplantae; Streptophyta; Magnoliopsida; Poales; Poaceae
Description: partial small subunit ribosomal RNA
Source: RNAcentral
AUGAUCAUGGCAAUUUCACAAAUGGUGCACCACGGGAGGUCUGCUGAUUGUUGGUCCAAGCACAGCUUUAAAUUCCGAGGAUUGCACGCGGCUCUGCGGCAAUGGGCGAACAGGAAAGGAAACCUGCACCUGCUGAUCUCAAACAAUAAGUUGGUGCCUGAUUGCCUCAAUGCGGUGGAAGAAAGGAGGCAUUUAUCUGACUCUGAGUUUCUUCUCCGUGUGCACGCAACAAGGAAGUUGGAGUCAUUACUCAAAUGGCAGCCCAUGUACUGGAAACAGAGGUCCAAGCUUAAUUGGUGCCGCAGCAAUUAUCAUGCUAAAAGGAAUUUUUUCGGAAUCAAGCUAGUAAAGAGGGUGGGGUGGAGCAUUUCGAGAUUUCUGACAAGCUGA